AAAGAAAUGGCGGAUUAGAAAAAUAAUAAUGAACUGUUUUGUUUAUACCACUCCAGGUGGCAUUUUACAUAUAAACAAUACUGAAUGGAGUAGAAAGACUACGAAGGAGACUUUAUAAUUAACAACAAAUCUCAUGACUGGAAGUGUGUGUUUAAAUUGAACCUCAUUGGAAAUGGGCUGGACUCCGGCCUAACGGGCGUUCCUGGUGCUCAUCACGCAAAAGAAGACACAACUAUCAGAAAAGAAUGUCCGGACUCAAUCGUGAAAGGCAACAGAACUUACCAAUUAUUCAUAGAUAGCUAAAAAUUGUGUCACUCAUCAAGCUUCCUGUAAAAAUUCUGGAUAUGAAAUUAAUUAAAAUAUAAUGUAGAUUUUAUUUUUUAAAUGUUUUCCUCUGCAAUAAUCAUCUCAAAAAUAAUGUUAGCAAUAUGUAUUAAUUCUUGUAGGCUUUAUGUUUAGUAAUAGGCCUAUUGUAUUAUUACUGCUAAUGUUUAUCUUAUUAAUAGAGAAAGUAACCCGUUUGUUGUAAAGAAUAUAGAUAUAUAUAAUAAGAUGUAACAUUUUGAGGAUAAAAAUCAGAUUUAUUGAUUUUUUGCCGGAUGUACAUGAUAUAGGACUACAGUAUAUAAAUAUAAAAUGUAUAUAUAUAUAUAUU
Long non-coding RNA from Anneissia japonica, 655 nucleotides. RefSeq lists it as uncharacterized. The transcript has 3 exons. NCBI's taxonomy places the organism in Eukaryota, Metazoa, Echinodermata, Crinoidea, Comatulida, Comatulidae. The record is from RefSeq and is a predicted model, not a curated record.